GCAUGCUUCGUGUUUCUUACAAAUGCUGGGUUUGUGGCGACCCUGUGCCGAGCAGGCCCAUCGGCAUCCUUGUUUCCAUAGCGUUUGUUCGCUUGGUGUCUCUGUGUCACAUUUGGGUGAUUCUCGAACGGGUUCAGACCUUGCCGUUAUUCUGAUUGUUACAGUGACCUGUGGAUCAGUGACUAGGACUCGCUGAGGCUCAGGUGAUGGUUAGCAUUCUUUAGCAAUAGAGUAUUUUAAAACGAAUGCACGCACGUUGACUUUUUGGACAUGAUGCCGUUGCACACUUAGAAGCCGGCGUAGCGUGCUUAUAAAUGUUUCAGGCACUGGGAAACCAGAAAAAUCUGUCCGGCUCGCUUUAUGGAGCUACUUGAUUUAUCCUGAGAGUCUGGAGCCAAACUCGGAAUAUCGUUGCGUCUAUGCAGUAGGUCUACGCAAUAGCGAUACCUUUCGGUUUUGGCUCUUGUGGCUGAGGACGUUUGGCGGACAUUCAAGUUUUAGCUUCCUCGUGUGCCCCCCACACCCUCCAGUUCUUCCGUCCGCCGUCUUAUUUCUUGUGAAACUAUCUGCUUGCACGUGGGGGACACUCACCUGGCGAAACCUCCAGAGCGUUAACUCUUUUCCUGAGUGAGAUGACCACUGUCGGGGAGGAAGAGUUUUCCUCUGCCCUUCUACGUUCCUUGGCUGGGCUGCGGAUCAAAUUGGCAUGAGACGGGUUAAGGGGAGAAGGUCGGAGAGAAUUUGCACAGCACAGAUACCUCCUGCAUACAUGGGAGAGACCUGGGAAAAUGGGGUGACAACUCACAGUGGCCAAAGCCAUCACCUUGAAUGCCCCCUCCACGGGAGAUGUUGGGGUGGGAGGGUCAGUUGUGGGAGUUCAUCAGGAAAAGCACCGUGAAUAAGUUGAGGGUGUUGUGCAGAUUUAAAGCCAGCCUUCUCCACUGACGAGUUUCUAGGGAAUUGAGUCACUCCCCUGUUCCUGGUGAUGAGGGAGACACCCUUACUCGGGAGCUUUCCUUUUACGUGGAAAUAGCUCUCACAAAAGGGUCAUUUCUCCUCGGUUUUCACGGCUUCUCCCAGCUUCUUAAAAAUAACCAGCUUAAAGUAUAAUCAAUAUGCCAAAGAGGCAUAUUUGCAGGUGGCAAAAUUCGCUCGCCUACGUCAUUGAUGAAGUUAACAAAACUUUAUUUCCCAGUAGAUACUACGUACCGGGUGUUGGUGGAAGGCUUGCAAAGCAGGCGUGGUCUUUGCCUGGAAGUUUUAGGUCUGUGAAGUCACUGCUGAAACACUUUCUAAAGACAGUGACUUCAAGGGGCGCCUGGCUGGCUCAGUCGGUAGAGUACCCAACUCUUGAUCUUGGGGUUGUGAGUUCGAGCCCCACAUUGGGAGUAGCGGUUACUUAAAAAUAAAAUCUUGAGGGGAGGCUGGGUGGCUCAGUCGGUUAAGCAUCUGACUCUUGAUUUCGGCUCGAGAUUGAGCCCCGAGUCGGAUUCUGCACUGAGAAUACAGAGCCUGUUUGGGAUUCUCUCUCUCUCUCUCUCUCUC
Molecule: long non-coding RNA, 1545 nt
Organism: Acinonyx jubatus (cheetah)
Lineage: Eukaryota; Metazoa; Chordata; Mammalia; Carnivora; Felidae
Exons: 2
Source: RefSeq, a predicted model, not a curated record